GGAAGUUAAGAAACAGUUUCUUAACUUUUAACUAAAAAACUAAGAACCGGUUCUUAAAUAAGGACUUUAAGAACCGGUUCUUAAAUAAGGACUUUAAGAACCGGUUCUUAACUUUUUUAGUUAAAAGUUAAGAAACAGUUUCUUAACUUCC
This is a non-coding RNA of Brassica napus (rape), 151 nucleotides long. The record is from Rfam. Lineage: Eukaryota; Viridiplantae; Streptophyta; Magnoliopsida; Brassicales; Brassicaceae.